UACGUAGGUGGCAAGCGUUGUCCGGAAUUAUUGGGCGUAAAGCGCGUGCAGGCGGUCCUUUAAGUCUGAUGUGAAAGCCCACGGCUCAACCGUGGAGGGUCAUUGGAAACUGGGGGACUUGAGUACAGAAGAGAAGAGUGGAAUUCCACGUGUAGCGGUGAAAUGCGUAGAGAUGUGGAGGAACACCAGUGGCGAAGGCGACUCUUUGGUCUGUAACUGACGCUGAGAAGCGAAAGCGUGGGGAGCGAACAGG
RNAcentral lists this ribosomal RNA (253 nucleotides) under uncultured bacterium. RNAcentral describes it as "partial 16S ribosomal RNA". It matches the Rfam family "Bacterial small subunit ribosomal RNA", at positions 524 to 776 of the family's 1533-position model. The record is from RNAcentral.